Molecule: ribosomal RNA, 253 nt
Filed under: uncultured bacterium
Lineage: Bacteria
Description: partial 16S ribosomal RNA
Rfam family: Bacterial small subunit ribosomal RNA
Source: RNAcentral
UACGAAGGGUGCAAACGUUGCUCGGAAUUAUUGGGCGUAAAGCGCACGUAGGCGGCAUCGCAAGUCGGAUGUGAAAGCCCACGGCUCAACCGUGGAAGUGCAUCCGAAACUGCAUGGCUCGAGUCUCGGAGAGGAAGGUGGAAUGCUUGGUGUAGAGGUGAAAUUCGUAGAUAUCAAGCAGAACACCUGCGGCGAAGGCGGCCUUCUGGACGAUGACUGACGCUGAGACGCGAAAGCGUGGGGAGCAAACAGG